GUAGUUGGCGGGGUAACGGCCCACCAAGCCAACGAUCAGUAACUGGUGUGAGAGCACGACCAGUCACACGGGCACUGAGACACGGGCCCGACUCCUACGGGAGGCAGCAGUAAGGAAUAUUGGUCAAUGGACGCAAGUCUGAACCAGCCAUGCCGCGUGGAGGAUGAAGGCCCUCUGGGUUGUAAACUUCUUUUAUCUGGGAAGAAACCACUCUUUUCUAAGGGUGUUGACGGUACCAGUUGAAUAAGCACCGGCUAACUCCGUGCCAGCAGCCGCGGUAAUACGGAGGGUGCAAGCGUUAUCCGGAUUCACUGGGUUUAAAGGGUGCGUAGGUGGGCAGGUAAGUCAGUGGUGAAAUCUCCGGGCUUAACCCGGAAACUGCCGUUGAUACUAUCUGUCUUGAAUGUAGUGGAGGUGAGCGGAAUAUGUCAUGUAGCGGUGAAAUGCUUAGAUAUGACAUAGAACACCCAUUGCGAAGGCAGCUCGCUACACUAUUAUUGACACUGAGGCACGAAAGCGUGGGGAUCAAACAGGAUUAGAUACCCUGGUAGUCCACGCCCUAAACGAUGGAUACUCGACAUCAGCGAUACACAGUUGGUGUCUGAGCGAAAGCAUUAAGUAUCCCACCUGGGAAGUACGAUCGCAAGAUUGAAACUCAAAGGAAUUGACG
RNAcentral lists this ribosomal RNA (670 nucleotides) under uncultured Bacteroidota bacterium. Its description in RNAcentral is "SSU rRNA". It matches the Rfam family "Bacterial small subunit ribosomal RNA", at positions 245 to 915 of the family's 1533-position model. Lineage: Bacteria; Pseudomonadati; Bacteroidota. The record is from RNAcentral.